GGCAAUGAUAUUAAUGGGGGCCACUGUCUUUUGCCAUGGCAAGGACUACCAUGCAUGCCCAAAGAAUGUGACGGUCUGGGAAUCCUGAACCUCAAAUGGUUUGGUUACGCCCUUCGAUGUCGUUGGCCAUGCAUGCGAUGGGGAGAUGAGGAGAGACCCUGGAGCCUGCAUCCAGAUAAGAUGGAGGAGGUUGCUGCCUUGUUUACAUCAGCGACUGUAGUUCGGCUAGGAGACAGACAAAUGGCUAAGUUUUGGACUGACCAGUGGCUGCCAGGUGGGUGUUCCAGUUGGAUAAGGAAGAUCUCGGUAGGCAUUUCUGCCCAGGCCAUGGCUCAAUAUCUUCAGAUUUGGGACAUUGUUGAAUGUACUAUUCUUUCUGUGGAGGUCCCAGAUAGAUUGAUUUGGAAGUGGAUGGGAGAUCUUAGUUUCUCAGUCAGCAGUGUUUAUGGUAUGUUUUUCGCUGCAAACAUGCGUUUUGCCUGCCAUAAACCAAUUUGGAGAUCCAAAGCUCCACCCAGAUGCAAAUUCUUCCUGUGGCUGGUCAUUCACAAGCGUUGCUUAACUGUUGACAAUGUCGAGCGAAAGGGUUGGCCAUCAAAUGGACCAUGCCCGCUCUGCCGUUCGACACACGAAGAUUGCACACAUAUGUUUUUAUGCUGCCGCUUCUCACAACAGGUGUGGUCCAGCUUUAGGGACUGGACUCGGGUGCCGUUCCCUAUCCCAGAUGAUAGCUUUGGUAGCUCCGAGACCUGGUGGAUCAACGUGUGGAGGGAGAUUCCCAAGACGGCCUGACGGAACUUCGACACGAUAACCAUCCCAAUCCACUGGAGGAUAUGGACGGAUUUUUGA
Molecule: ribosomal RNA, 849 nt
Filed under: Triticum aestivum (bread wheat)
Lineage: Eukaryota; Viridiplantae; Streptophyta; Magnoliopsida; Poales; Poaceae
Description: partial small subunit ribosomal RNA
Source: RNAcentral